GCCCGGGUAGCUCAGUCGGUAGAGCAGCUCACUCGUAAUGAGCAGGUCAGGGGUUCGAAUCCCCUCUCGGGCU
Molecule: transfer RNA, 73 nt
Filed under: Ferrimicrobium acidiphilum DSM 19497
Lineage: Bacteria; Bacillati; Actinomycetota; Acidimicrobiia; Acidimicrobiales; Acidimicrobiaceae
Also listed under: 2 other names
Rfam family: tRNA
About the family: Transfer RNA (tRNA) molecules are approximately 80 nucleotides in length. Their secondary structure includes four short double-helical elements and three loops (D, anti-codon, and T loops).
Source: Rfam by way of RNAcentral